AUUUCUUCCGUUGUCACUGUGUGUGAGCAUGCGUAGCGUCAGGAAGGAGCGAGCAAGCAUUAGGAGCCCUUGACAGAAGCCUCUUUGCCCUCCCAGGUCUGGUGAAGGGUGGGGGAGCCUUGCAGGAAAUGAGGACAUGAUCAAAGGUGGACAAUUAUGCAAAUAGGAGUCGAAGUGCUGGAUCACAUGGAAGGUUUAUGUUCACCUUUUCCAGGAACUGCCCAACUGGUUUCCACAGGGGCUGCACCAUUUUACAUUCCAUUAGCAAUGCAAGAGGGUUCCAUUUUCUCCACAUGCUCAUCAACAGUUGAAACCUCUUCAAUUUACCAUGGGAUGCAGAGAAUAAACACAUGAGCCCUUGGGCAGCUUGCCACGCAUCCUGAGACUUUCUGCAAGGGCCUUGUCCUCCGGAUUGAGUGCCUGACCAGACUUCAUGCUGAGGCCUUCAUUGAGAUGCGUAAGGAGGGUGGCUGUAAAGGGGCCCAGAGUGCUUCUAGAAAACAACAAUGAACAAACUAUGGUGAAGGAUGCUUCUCCUUUUCCUGGGAAACUUCACCCAAAGCCAUUUUAAAUCCUCUACAGCUAACUUAUCAAUGUGAUGGAAAAUUCUAUUUUAUUGUUAUUACUAUUAA
Neofelis nebulosa (Clouded leopard) is the source of this 632-nucleotide long non-coding RNA. RefSeq lists it as uncharacterized. The record is from RefSeq and is a predicted model, not a curated record. The transcript has 3 exons. Lineage: Eukaryota; Metazoa; Chordata; Mammalia; Carnivora; Felidae.